ACUGCAGUAGCUCAAUCGGAAGAGCGAUGAAAUAUUGAUCCAAGGCCCCUGUUUCAAGCCCCGGCUGCAGUC
Non-coding RNA from Phthorimaea operculella (potato tuberworm), 72 nucleotides. NCBI's taxonomy places the organism in Eukaryota, Metazoa, Arthropoda, Insecta, Lepidoptera, Gelechiidae. The record is from the annotation of a GenBank genome assembly.